This 253-nucleotide ribosomal RNA is filed under the name uncultured bacterium. RNAcentral's name for it is "partial 16S ribosomal RNA". It matches the Rfam family "Bacterial small subunit ribosomal RNA", at positions 524 to 776 of the family's 1533-position model. The record is from RNAcentral.
UACGUAGGUGGCAAGCGUUGUCCGGAAUUAUUGGGCGUAAAGCGCGCGCAGGCGGUCCUUUAAGUCUGAUGUGAAAGCCCACGGCUCAACCGUGGAGGGUCAUUGGAAACUGGGGGACUUGAGUACAGAAGAGGAAAGCGGAAUUCCAUGUGUAGCGGUGAAAUGCGUAGAGAUGUGGAGGAACACCAGUGGCGAAGGCGGCUUUCUGGUCUGUAACUGACGCUGAGGCGCGAAAGCGUGGGGAGCAAACAGG